This 6183-nucleotide long non-coding RNA is filed under the name Gossypium barbadense (sea-island cotton). RNAcentral's name for it is "long non-coding RNA (GBAR_LNC017447)". The record is from RNAcentral. Lineage: Eukaryota; Viridiplantae; Streptophyta; Magnoliopsida; Malvales; Malvaceae.
UGCUAUUGAAAAAAAAAUACAGAACUCUUAGCUAUUUUGCAUGGUAUUUGGAUUGUAUGGCUCAAAUGGUAUAAUUUCAAAUUGGUUAUGCAAGGGAACUGUGUUUACUCAGACUCGGGUGCAUAUCCGACAUGGGUAUAAUCAGUUUUUCAAAGUUUUUCCAUGUAUUUGAAGGAUUCUUGGAGGCCAUAUCCUCAUUUGUGUGUGUUGGACAGAGUACCUUAUGAAAAAUGAAUAGUCCGAGCAACGAUUACCUAUUUGCCACUUUAUGCAUAAAAGUCAUGUUUAAUACAAUAUGGGAAAACCAUGAUUCAACAUUAAAUAACUCUUAAAUUGAAGAUAAAAUGAUUGGAUGAUUCCAUUUUUUUUCAAUAUAUUUCCCAAAGUAAAUCAAGAACGAUGGUUUGAUGUUUAUUAAGGGUCAAUUGAGAACAACAAAGAGCUGCAGUGAUGAACCCUGAAAUAAUUGAUCUUUCUUACAUGAAAAUUAGCUUCUGUUUAAUCAAAAGGAACAACAAAGCUGCAAAAAUGCCAUUGGCUAGGCCUAGUUAUGGAACUCAAACAACACUAAAAGAUCACUUAAGCAAGUUUCCACACAAUAAUUUCUCAAAGAAUAAAAAACAACACAAAAUCCCACCACAACAGUAUGAAAAUCAAGGAAACAUAAAAAGAAAAAACAGUAGAUUGAUUGAAUAAGUAACAAAUGGAAAGGAUUGAACUUUGCCCCAUUGUACCUCUCACUCGGUAAGUAGCUGAAAAGGGUUGAAAGGGUUGAGCUGGAGACCUAAAGAUUGAAGCAUUUGCAGCCAUUUUUUCCCUCACAGUUUCUCUGCAAUUGUUUUUAACUUCUUAGAGAACUAAUAGCCUCUUUUUUUUUCUGAAUAGUGAAAAAAGAGGAGAACUUUGGGUUUUUAGAUAAGGAGAAUGAAGUGAAGAAAUAUAUGAAGAGUGGAAAAAAGAAAAAAAGAAAAACUGAAAAAUAAUAUCUAAUCCAUGAAAAUGACACAAGCAGAUUAUUUUAGAAAAUUAAAGGGCUAAAACAAAAGGGUAACACAAAAAUAUCUUUGAUUUUAUUUGAUUUCAUAUCUCAAAUCUCUUGUAAUCAAACACAGCAGCACCUUAUCACCUCAUCUCUCUCUUUGUCCUUUUCUCCUUGCCAUUUUUUCUUUCUACAAUCCACACUCUUUUUCUUUUUUUUCCCACAGUAAAACCCAGUUUUUCUUUAGAACCCCAUUAUCAUUUUAAUCACACCAUCGUUGUCAAAGUUCAAAAUUUUUAUGAUUUUCACCUUUUCAAACUGCAAUAAUAAUAAAAACUUGAUCUUGCUCUUGCAAAGUUAUGAACUUUGGCAUUCAAGUUUUAUUAAAUCAAUUGAAAGGGGUUGGCUUUUGGACUAAUGGGGGUGUCAAUUAGAACAAAAGAACAUUGUGAUGAAAGCUUGGGAGGCUGCAAUAUUUGGCAAUGGUAAUUCAAAACAUGGUGCCAAUGCAUUGGCAACCAAGCUCCAAUUGUUGAUCCUAAAUACCAUUGGAGUCAGUCUUUUGUGUAUGGUUCCUAGUCUUGUUGAUUGGGCUGCCCACCUUCUCUCUUCAAGUCUGUGUUCUUGUAAGCCUUCUUUUUUAGUAAUGGAAUUUUGCUUAUGCCCCCGACUCCACAAUUCAAUUAAAUCGAGGUCUUCGGCCGGGGAGUUUUCGGUUUGGAUGUGAGAUUUAUGCAUGAUAUAGUUGAUUAAGUUGUACAAUUUAAAAUAUUUGUUUAAUAUUUAGUAAUUUUAUUUAUAUAUCUUUUACUAUUAUUGUAAAUUUCUUUUAUUAAAUUUCUAAAGGUAACAACUUAAAAGUAUUUUUUAAUAUUUAUAUUAUAAUAUAUUUAAUUUUCAUAGGAUAUAAAUUACGACUUAUAUAUCAAAAAAGUCUUUAAGAAAAUUUUAAAAAAUAAAUUAAACUUCUGUUUUAAAUUCGCACGCAAUUUAGUCUCUACUGUUAAUUAAAAUAAUCAAUUAAGUCCUUUAGUUAAUAGUUUCCGUCAUUGACCAUGUUGACCGUUAAAAUAAAUUGAUGUAUCAAUCAAAUGGUGACACAUGAUAUCUUUUGGUUUAAUUUAAUAUUUCCCUAUAAAAUGACUAAAAAGUCAUAAAAAGUUAUAAAAAUUAUAAAAAAUUAAAUAUUAGAAAAACAUUAAAAAUAUUAAAAUUGAUAUUGACUUAUUAAACUUAUAAAAUAUAAAAAAAUUAUAAAAAUUAUAAUAAAUCUAAUAAACUAUAAAAAAUUAUGGAACUAAUAAAACUUAUUUAAAAUAUUUAAAAUUAACAAAAUGUAUUAGAGUUCUUAAAAUAAUAAAAAAUGUAAAAAAAAUAUUAAAAUUGGUAUAAACUUAUAAAACUUAUUUAAAAAUCAUAAAAACUUGAAUUGGACCGGUUAGCAUGAAAUCGACAAGGGUACCGAUUCAGGAAAUGCCGUUAGACCGAUUGACUUGGGAAUUGGGUGGUUGAACCAAUUUUUUUUAUUUUUUUUAAUGUUUUUAUCAAAUCAAAAUUUUAUUAUUCACCUAUUAGCAUAUGUUAGAAUCAAACAUUCUGACUAAGAUUUUUAAAACCGAACCGAUGGUUUAACUGAUUAGGCCAUGGGUUUACCAGUUCGACUAAUUCAUCCAGUUCAAUUAAAUAAAAUAUUAAAAAUUAAAAAAAAUUAAAAUCGGUUUCAAGUUUUAAGUUAACAACUUAACCAAAUAGGCAUCUAUUUGAACAAUUAUGUCAGAAUAAAUAUUUGUGUCCGAAUUCUAUUUUUUUCUAAUAGACAUACUUGUUUGGAUGAUAUAUGCAUCUGUAUAUGAGAUGUUCAAGAGUCGAGUUAUCUGUUCAAGCAUGAAAUUUCAUUUGAAAAUGGGAAGAGUUUAGACAAAAAUAUUAAGCAUAAGAAAUUAAGUCCAUUUAAAAUAUGGGUCUGACCUUGAAAUAGCUUGACCCACUUUUAAAUAUUGUAAUAUUUAAGUUUAAUAUAUCAUGUAAUGACAAUUAUCGGUAAGUAAAUAUAAUAAUAUAAAUAUUAUAAAAACAUGCUAAGUUAUUGGCUAUAUUUUAAGUUUUAAUAAAAGAAUAUAUAAAAUUAUUAAAAAUUUAUUUCGAGUCAGAUCGGACUUAAACACACCUGAAUACCAAUUCAAGUACCUAUUUGAACACUAAAAUCAAAUUUAAGUACCAAACAUUAUAAUAAACCAUAUACAUAAACAAUAGAUAAUAUGACGAAUAUAGAGAGCAAUGAGUGCUCUCAAUUAUUAAAAAUGGAAGUUAUGGCUGGGAUGACCUCAUGGGUUUUGAAACCAAUUAAAAACUUAAGCAAUGGAAUAAUAAAAAGACAUGAUUUCAACUUUAUAGGACUCACUCUCCCCAACAUUUGGAAUUUCUAAGCCAAUAAAGACACAAACAAUAUUCAUUAAAAAAAACAUUGGUUUCUUUUUCAUCCAAUAAGGACUGAAAUGCAAUUUUAAUUUAGUUAAACAAUUUGAUUACAAAGUUAGUAAAACUUUAAUGUAUUGAAAUCUCCGAGUCCGGUGUUAUGAGUCAGUUCAACAUUAAAUUGAUUAAAAAGAUUAUUUUAUAUUUGAUUUUUAAUGGAAUAAUAUAAUCAAAAAAAUGAUGUUUUUUACCUUUCUUAUAUGAAAUACUUAAUUACAUAAAACAAAUGAAAAACAUAAUGUGUAAAAAUUUAUAGUAUAUAUAAAUAUAUUUAUUUUGCCGAUUGAAUCUUAACUCGAUUGGCAUGGAUAUUGUUAUCAAUGUAGGAGGACAUGGGUUCGAGUGCACUAAAACGUAUUAUGGGUAAUUCUAAACACGACCGAAAACCAUAAAAAAAAAAGGAAUUUAAAGAUGGUUUUAGUAGUUCAGGCUACGUUAAAUGGCAUUGGUAGAAACACCUUCAAAAAGUGCUUCCUUUAAACAAAAGUUUUUGGGGGUUCAUUAUUCAGUAAUCUGUAGACCAAAGCAUGCUUUCUUUAUUACCUUUAGUCUCACUAGAAACGACACGAUUGCCAAUUUUACGCAUGCAAACGCUGCUUAAUUAACAUUUUAAAUACUACAUUAAAAGCUAAAAACAUGUUUUGUUUCUCGAGUUCACUAACAGUCUUUCUUUUUUUUCUUAAAAAACACUUUUCAUGUUGAUGUGGUUAUUUUUAUUACAUUGAAAUUCAUGUCAAUUAUUACAUUUAACACAAAUUAACAAGCAUAUUAUUGUCAUUUUAGCAAACCCUUUUUAAUAAAUAUAUAUUUUUUCGAAUGGUUAAGUGUUGAUGUUGUUGCUAAAAAUGUCAAUUAUUCGAUUGCCAAUGUAGGAGAAUGUGGGUUCGAGUGCGCUGAAGCGCAUUAUCCUCUUAUUUAUAGGUUGGGAUACACAUAGUUUAUACCCUUUUUAAGCUUAGAUAAUGUAGACUCUAUAUAGGUAAUAUUAAAAAGUAUAUACAUAAUUAGUAUAUUGCAAAAAACUAAGAGUUAAUUAUGAGAGAAAACAGAAGCAUUUGCUUACGUCAAAAGAAAAGCAUGGUUUUGAAGUGAGCAUGCAAUGAAUGAAUGUCUGAGUGUAAGCAAAAGAAUGCAUGCAUAUGCUUUAUUCCUCCAAUCAAAACUAUGAAUAAAAUAAUGGUUAAACCCAUAUCAUAUACCUGACUUUGAGACUGCUAUCAUUCAUUCCUCGACCACAUUUUUAAUAAUAUUUUCAAUAAAUUACUCACUUCAUCUUCUCCCAAUGUCAAUGUGUUUCUCUCUUUGUUCUUUUCACCCCCACAGUCUCUCUAUUUUAUAAGACAGUGUCACCUUUUUCUUUAUUUGAGCUUUUAAUUAUCACUAAUACAAACAAAAAAAAGGAGAAGUAAAAUGGAGUAUUAGUCUUUGAUUAGUCAAGCAACUCCUUUUGAGCUAUCUAUGCAAAAGAUAAUCCAAGUUUUCAGAUUUCAGGGGUUUUAUAUAUUAUAUAUAUAUAUUUCUAAUUAAAAAUGUGAUAAGGGUGUGUAGUAUUUUCCUUUCUUACAUUUAAAAGAUUAGAAGUUGAGCUAUCCAUUCAGAUUGAGACUCGGUUUAUACGAGUCGAGCUUUGAAUAAUAUAUUUUCGAAUUUAGGUGAAUUCAGUUUAUGACGAAAUUUGAAUUGUUGAUUAGGCUCAGAAUCGAUCUAUUUUGAACAGAGCGAUUAUUUUUGAAAAGUAGAUGCAAGAUGGGAUAUUGGGGUGAUUUUUUUCUUAUACAGUGAGUAUAGAGUGGUUUAUGAUAGUUUCUUAACCUACUUCGUCCUGUCCCAUUAUAUGAAAUUAUAUUUGUAAAAUUAUAAUGACGUGUUAUGGAAAAAUCUAUAUGUUUUAUUUUUAAUAUUUUAAAAAAUUAGGUUUACUUGAAAAAGUUGAAAAUAGUAGAAAUAGUUAAUAAAAAGUAAACUAAAAUGGAGCGUGACAGGAUAAAGAUGGAUGCAUCUGAUUGUAUUUUCAAGAUUAUACAUACAUAGAGAAACAAAAGAGUGGAAAAGUAGAGUACACCGACUAUAGAAUGGUGGUGAAUUUGACCAUAUCUACAUCCAUUCUACUUUAUUGCCAUCCUUAAUCUGAAUAGGGAUGGAACUAAAAUAAACUGAUAAAAGGAGAGUUGUGUACUUAUUCAGUAAAAAUAAAAAGUUAAACUUUAACUGGAAAUUAAAGGUGAAGUUAAUGUAAUAAAAUUUGAUUAAAUUGAUGGUCCCAUAUAAAGGGAAAGAAUCACACCUAUAUUUUAGUGCUUGCAUUAUUGAGUUAUAAACCCACACUAAAUUGGUUCCAAAUAUUUACUCAUUACCAUCCACUCUCUUCAAAAAGUCUAAUCAUCAUCAUCUACCACACCAUAUUGAUAUACAUAAAAAAAAAAAAAACCAAUAGAAAAUUCAAAGCACUACCCAUUUCGCCACGUGUCCUCCUAUUCAAUCUGUCACAGUUUACCCCUUGUUUAGCGGGCGCUUCCUGUUGUAUUUUUAACCUUCUCUCCCAUGCUUCAAUGCAGAUUGUAAAUUAUUAUCCGACUGUAAACCUCAAACCAUUUUCUCGAGAAAAGGGAGAGAUAAAAAGAAAUGUCAAAAGUGAAGCAGCAGAAACCACUGUGUGUGUGGGUGUGUGUUUGUUUUGGCUGCAUGUGUGAAAAAAGUAAAUAAAUUUAUGUGGGUGUAGGUGAAAAAAG